RNAcentral lists this ribosomal RNA (469 nucleotides) under uncultured bacterium. RNAcentral's name for it is "partial 16S ribosomal RNA". It matches the Rfam family "Bacterial small subunit ribosomal RNA", at positions 28 to 507 of the family's 1533-position model. The record is from RNAcentral.
GACGAACGCUGGCGGCGUGCUUAACACAUGCAAGUCGAACGGAAAGGCCCUGCUUUUGUGGGGUGCUCGAGUGGCGAACGGGUGAGUAACACGUGAGUAACCUGCCCUUGACUUUGGGAUAACUUCAGGAAACUGGGGCUAAUACCGGAUAGGAGCUCCUGCUGCAUGGUGGGGGUUGGAAAGUUUCGGCGGUUGGGGAUGGACUCGCGGCUUAUCAGCUUGUUGGUGGGGUAGUGGCUUACCAAGGCUUUGACGGGUAGCCGGCCUGAGAGGGUGACCGGCCGUAGUGGGGCUGAGAGACGGGCCAGAGUCGGACGGGAGGCAGCAGGGGGGAAGGGUGGACAAUGGGCGGAAGCCUGAUGACGGCAGUCCGCGGGCGGGAGGACGGCGUGAGGGGUGGAAAACGCGUUCAGCAGGGGCGAAGCUGGUGGUGACGGUACCUGAAGAAGAAGCACCGGCUAACUACGUG